UUAUUGCAGAAAGAAAAACAA
RNAcentral lists this non-coding RNA (21 nucleotides) under Caenorhabditis elegans. The record is from RNAcentral. Lineage: Eukaryota; Metazoa; Nematoda; Chromadorea; Rhabditida; Rhabditidae.